RNAcentral lists this transfer RNA (72 nucleotides) under Camelus bactrianus (Bactrian camel). It matches the Rfam family "tRNA". From Rfam's summary of the family: Transfer RNA (tRNA) molecules are approximately 80 nucleotides in length. Their secondary structure includes four short double-helical elements and three loops (D, anti-codon, and T loops). Lineage: Eukaryota; Metazoa; Chordata; Mammalia; Artiodactyla; Camelidae. The record is from Rfam by way of RNAcentral. RNAcentral also lists the same sequence under 2 other names.
GGGUGUGUAACUCAGUGGUAGAGCGCAUGCUUAUCAUGCACAAGGUCCUGGGUUCAAUUCCCACUACCUCCA